GACGAACGCUGGCGGCGUGCUUAACACAUGCAAGUCGAGCGGUAAGGCCCUUUCGGGGGUACACGAGCGGCGAACGGGUGAGUAACACGUGGGUGACCUGCCCUCAGCUCUGGGAUAAGCCUGGGAAACCGGGUCUAAUACUGGAUAUGACUCCAUGACGCAUGUUGUGGGGUGAAAGCCUUGUGCGGCUGAGGAUGGGCCCGCGGCCUAUCAGCUUGUUGGUGGGGCAUGGCCUACCAAGGCGACGACGGGUAGCCGGCCUGAGAGGGCGACCGGCCACACUGGGACUGAGACACGGCCCAGACUCCUACGGGAGGCAGCAGU
This 324-nucleotide ribosomal RNA is filed under the name uncultured bacterium. RNAcentral's name for it is "bacterial SSU rRNA". It matches the Rfam family "Bacterial small subunit ribosomal RNA", at positions 28 to 355 of the family's 1533-position model. The record is from RNAcentral.